GACCGCGUAGCUCAGUUGGCAGAGCAUUGGGCUAGUAUUCCAAAGGUCGUAGGUUCGAUUCCCACCGCGGCCG
This 73-nucleotide transfer RNA is filed under the name Paramuricea clavata. It matches the Rfam family "tRNA". From Rfam's summary of the family: Transfer RNA (tRNA) molecules are approximately 80 nucleotides in length. Lineage: Eukaryota; Metazoa; Cnidaria; Anthozoa; Malacalcyonacea; Plexauridae. The record is from Rfam by way of RNAcentral.